CCAAUAGCGUAUAUUAAAGUUGUUGCAGUUAAAAAGCUCGUAGUUGAAUUUCGGGAUCAGUAGGUUGGUCAUGCCUCUGGUAUGCACUGGUCUCACUGGUUCCUCCUUCCUGAUGAACCGUAAUGCCAUUAAUUUGGUGUUGCGGGGAAACUGGACUGUUACUUUGAAAAAAUUAGAGUGUUUAAAGCAAGCUAACGCUUGAAUACAUUAGCAUGGAAUAAUGAAAUAGGACGAUCGAUCCUAUUUUGUUGGUUUCUAGGAUUGACGUAAUGAUUAAUAGGGAUAGUUGGGGGCAUUAGUAUUCAAUUGUCAGAGGUGAAAUUCUUGGAUUUAUUGAAGACUAACUACUGCGAAAGCAUUUGCCAAGGAUGUUUUCAUUAAUCAAGAACGAAAGUUAGGGGAUCGAAGACGAUCAGAUACCGUCGUAGUCUUAACCAUAAACUAUGCCGACUAGGGAUCGGAUGAUGUUAAUUUUUUAAUGACUCAUUCGGCGCCUUACG
Molecule: ribosomal RNA, 500 nt
Filed under: uncultured Glomeromycotina
Lineage: Eukaryota; Fungi; Glomeromycota
Description: partial small subunit ribosomal RNA
Rfam family: Eukaryotic small subunit ribosomal RNA
Source: RNAcentral